This 465-nucleotide ribosomal RNA is filed under the name uncultured bacterium. RNAcentral's name for it is "bacterial SSU rRNA". It matches the Rfam family "Bacterial small subunit ribosomal RNA", at positions 26 to 507 of the family's 1533-position model. The record is from RNAcentral.
AGGACGAACGCUGGCGGCGUGCCUAACACAUGCAAGUCGAGCGAGUGAAUCUCCUUCGGGAGUGAAGCUAGCGGCGGACGGGUGAGUAACACGUGGGCAACCUGCCUCAUAGAGGGGAAUAGCCUUCCGAAAGGAAGAUUAAUACCGCAUAAGAUUGUAGCUUCGCAUGAAGUAGCAAUUAAAGGAGCGAUCCGCUAUGAGAUGGGCCCGCGGCGCAUUAGCUAGUUGGUGAGGUAACGGCUCACCAAGGCGACGAUGCGUAGCCGACCUGAGAGGGUGAUCGGCCACAUUGGGACUGAGACACGGCCCAGACUCCUACGGGAGGCAGCAGUGGGGAAUAUUGCACAAUGGGGAAACCCUGAUGCAGCAACGCCGCGUGAGUGAUGACGGCCUUCGGGUUGUAAAGCUCUGUCUUCAGGGACGAUAAUGACGGUACCUGAGGAGGAAGCCACGGCUAACUACGUG